Molecule: ribosomal RNA, 477 nt
Filed under: uncultured Pseudoalteromonas sp.
Lineage: Bacteria; Pseudomonadati; Pseudomonadota; Gammaproteobacteria; Alteromonadales; Pseudoalteromonadaceae
Description: bacterial SSU rRNA
Rfam family: Bacterial small subunit ribosomal RNA
Source: RNAcentral
GGCGGACGGGUGAGUAAUGCUUGGGAAUAUGCCUUAUGGUGGGGGACAACAGUUGGAAACGACUGCUAAUACCGCAUGAUGUCUACGGACCAAAGUGGGGGACCUUCGGGCCUCACGCCAUAAGAUUAGCCCAAGUGGGAUUAGCUAGUUGGUGAGGUAAUGGCUCACCAAGGCGACGAUCCCUAGCUGGUUUGAGAGGAUGAUCAGCCACACUGGGACUGAGACACGGCCCAGACUCCUACGGGAGGCAGCAGUGGGGAAUAUUGCACAAUGGGCGCAAGCCUGAUGCAGCCAUGCCGCGUGUGUGAAGAAGGCCUUCGGGUUGUAAAGCACUUUCAGUAAGGAGGAAAGGUUAAGUGUUAAUAGCACUUAGCUGUGACGUUACUUACAGAAGAAGCACCGGCUAACUCCGUGCCAGCAGCCGCGGUAAUACGGAGGGUGCGAGCGUUAGUCGGAAUUACUGGGCGUAAAGCGUAC